RNAcentral lists this ribosomal RNA (290 nucleotides) under uncultured bacterium. Its description in RNAcentral is "partial 16S ribosomal RNA". It matches the Rfam family "Bacterial small subunit ribosomal RNA", at positions 773 to 1060 of the family's 1533-position model. The record is from RNAcentral.
GUGGAUUAGAUACCCUGGUAGUCCACGCCGUAAACGAUGAGUGCUUGGUGUAGCGGGUAUCGACCCCUGCUGUGCCGAAGUCAACACAUUAAGCACUCCGCCUGGGGAGUACGGUCGCAAGACUGAAACUCAAAGGAAUUGACGGGGGCCCGCACAAGCGGUGGAGCAUGUGGUUUAAUUCGAAGCAACGCGCAGAACCUUACCUGGGUUUGAACUGCACAGGAAAGUCUCAGAGAUGAGAGCCCCUCUUCGGAGGUCUGUGUAGAGGUGCUGCACGGCUGUCGCCAACU